CGAUGUCAACUAGCCGUUGGGAGCCUUGAGCUCUUAGUGGCGCAGCUAACGCAUUAAGUUGACCGCCUGGGGAGUACGGCCGCAAGGUUAAAACUCAAAUGAAUUGACGGGGGCCCGCACAAGCGGUGGAGCAUGUGGUUUAAUUUGAAGCAACGCGAAGAACCUUACCAGGCCUUGACAUCCAAUGAACUUUCUAGAGAUAGAUUGGUGCCUUCGGGAACAUUGAGACAGGUGCUGCAUGGCUGUCGUCAGCUCGUGUCGUGAGAUGUUGGGUUAAGUCCCGUAACGAGCGCAACCCUUGUCCUUAGUUACCAGCACGUAAUGGUGGGCACUUUAAGGAGACUGCCGGUGACAAACCGGAGGAAGGGGG
Molecule: ribosomal RNA, 370 nt
Filed under: Pseudomonas sp. AD17
Lineage: Bacteria; Pseudomonadati; Pseudomonadota; Gammaproteobacteria; Pseudomonadales; Pseudomonadaceae
Description: bacterial SSU rRNA
Rfam family: Bacterial small subunit ribosomal RNA
Source: RNAcentral